Molecule: ribosomal RNA, 702 nt
Filed under: uncultured Staphylococcus sp.
Lineage: Bacteria; Bacillati; Bacillota; Bacilli; Caryophanales; Staphylococcaceae
Description: bacterial SSU rRNA
Rfam family: Bacterial small subunit ribosomal RNA
Source: RNAcentral
GAGGAGCUUGCUCCUCUGACGUUAGCGGCGGACGGGUGAGUAACACGUGGAUAACCUACCUAUAAGACUGGGAUAACUUCGGGAAACCGGAGCUAAUACCGGAUAAUAUAUUGAACCGCAUGGUUCAAUAGUGAAAGACGGUUUUGCUGUCACUUAUAGAUGGAUCCGCGCCGCAUUAGCUAGUUGGUAAGGUAACGGCUUACCAAGGCAACGAUGCGUAGCCGACCUGAGAGGGUGAUCGGCCACACUGGAACUGAGACACGGUCCAGACUCCUACGGGAGGCAGCGGUAGGGAAUCUUCCGCAAUGGGCGAAAGCCUGACGGAGCAACGCCGCGUGAGUGAUGAAGGUCUUCGGAUCGUAAAACUCUGUUAUUAGGGAAGAACAAAUGUGUAAGUAACUAUGCACGUCUUGACGGUACCUAAUCAGAAAGCCACGGCUAACUACGUGCCAGCAGCCGCGGUAAUACGUAGGUGGCAAGCGUUAUCCGGAAUUAUUGGGCGUAAAGCGCGCGUAGGCGGUUUUUUAAGUCUGAUGUGAAAGCCCACGGCUCAACCGUGGAGGGUCAUUGGAAACUGGAAAACUUGAGUGCAGAAGAGGAAAGUGGAAUUCCAUGUGUAGCGGUGAAAUGCGCAGAGAUAUGGAGGAACACCAGUGGCGAAGGCGACUUUCUGGUCUGUAACUGACGCUGAUGUGCGAAAGC